Molecule: unclassified non-coding RNA, 333 nt
Filed under: soil metagenome
Description: partial contains 5.8S ribosomal RNA, internal transcribed spacer 2, and large subunit ribosomal RNA
Rfam family: 5.8S ribosomal RNA (bases 1-120)
Source: RNAcentral
GAUGAAGAACGUAGCGAAAUGCGAUAAGUAGUGUGAAUUGCAGAAUUCAGUGAAUCAUCGAAUCUUUGAACGCACAUUGCGCCCCUUGGUAUUCCGAGGGGCAUGCCUGUUCGAGCGUCAUUAUCACCCCUCAAGCUCAGCUUGGUGUUGGGGCCGGCCCGUCACAGGGCCGCCCCUAAAAGCAGUGGCGGUGCCAUCUGGCUCUACGCGUAGUAAUACUCCUCGCGACAGAGUCCCGGUGGUGUCCUGCCAGAACCCCCCAUCUUUUUAAUGAUUGACCUCGGAUCAGGUAGGGAUACCCGCUGAACUUAAGCAUAUCAAUAAGCGGAGGGA